This 160-nucleotide ribosomal RNA is filed under the name Cynanchum insipidum. RNAcentral's name for it is "5.8S ribosomal RNA". It matches the Rfam family "5.8S ribosomal RNA". From Rfam's summary of the family: 5.8S ribosomal RNA (5.8S rRNA) is a component of the large subunit of the eukaryotic ribosome. It is transcribed by RNA polymerase I as part of the 45S precursor that also contains 18S and 28S rRNA. The record is from RNAcentral. Lineage: Eukaryota; Viridiplantae; Streptophyta; Magnoliopsida; Gentianales; Apocynaceae.
ACGACUCUCGGCAACGGAUAUCUAGGCUCUCGCAUCGAUGAAGAACGUAGCAAACUGCGAUAGUUGGUGUGAAUUGCAGAAUCCCGUGAACCAUGGAGUCUUUGAACGCAAGUUGCGCCCGAAGCCAUUAGGCCGAGGGCACGUUUGCCUGGGCGUCACG